Molecule: ribosomal RNA, 253 nt
Filed under: uncultured bacterium
Lineage: Bacteria
Description: partial 16S ribosomal RNA
Rfam family: Bacterial small subunit ribosomal RNA
Source: RNAcentral
UACGAAGGGAGCUAGCGUUGUUCGGAAUCACUGGGCGUAAAGCGCACGUAGGCGGAUGUGUCAGUCAGGGGUGAAAUCCCGGAGCUCAACUUCGGAACUGCCCUUGAUACAGCACGUCUUGAGUCCGAUAGAGGUGGGUGGAAUUCCUAGUGUAGAGGUGAAAUUCGUAGAUAUUAGGAAGAACACCGGUGGCGAAGGCGGCCCACUGGAUCGGCAUUGACGCUGAGGCGCGAAAGCCAGGGGAGCAAACGGG